RNAcentral lists this ribosomal RNA (465 nucleotides) under uncultured bacterium. Its description in RNAcentral is "partial 16S ribosomal RNA". It matches the Rfam family "Bacterial small subunit ribosomal RNA", at positions 28 to 507 of the family's 1533-position model. The record is from RNAcentral.
GACGAACGCUGGCGGCGUGCUUAACGCAUGCAAGUCGAACGGAAAGGCCCUGCUUGCAGGGUACUCGAGUGGCGAACGGGUGAGUAACACGUGGGUGAUCUGCCCUGCACUUCGGGAUAAGCCUGGGAAACUGGGUCUAAUACCGGAUAGGAGCCAUUUUUAGUGUGAUGGUUGGAAAGUUUUUUCGGUGUAGGAUGAGCUCGCGGCCUAUCAGCUUGUUGGUGGGGUAAUGGCCUACCAAGGCGGCGACGGGUAGCCGGCCUGAGAGGGUGGACGGCCACAUUGGGACUGAGAUACGGCCCAGACUCCUACGGGAGGCAGCAGUGGGGAAUAUUGCACAAUGGGCGCAAGCCUGAUGCAGCGACGCCGCGGGGGGGAUGACGGCCUUCGGGUUGUAAACUCCUUUCGCUAGGGACGAAGCUUUUUGUGACGGUACCUAGAGAAGAAGCACCGGCUAACUACGUG